GCUUUGUGAGCUUGCUUCUGACUAACACAGACUGUUUUCACUAGGGAGCACAGGGACAAAAAGAGUUGUGAAGUUUUGAGUCUUUAGGAUUAUUCCUUUCAAGUCUGUGAUAACCUGUGAUUCUUCUCCCCAACUAUUUUCUAACCCUCCCCGACCUUUUCCACUUCCUUUCAUUUCGUAGUGACUACCAGAAAUUUACCAAGGAAGCUGCCAUGAAAUAACAUAUUUCUUUUAGAAAUACAACUGACUCAAUAGACAGCUAUGGAUGUGCUGUUAUUUUGGAGAUACAAGAGAAGAAUCAGUAGAGCUACCUUUUCUUGGCACUCCAAAAUGUGGAUUUCAAAACUGUUAGUUCAGAAAUGUUCAACUUUUGCUGCCCAUUGGAAUUACCCGGAGAGCUGUAAAAGGACACUGAUGCCUGGGCUGCACCUCCCAGAGGUCCUGAUUUGAUCAAUCCAAAGGAAGUCCUGGGCAGUAAAUUUUUAAAAGUUCCACAGCAUUUCUGAUGGCCUCACUGAUCAGGAGUCUGCAAGACCACCCUCAGGCUUCAUGCACUAAAAGGACUCACAGGACUCAGAAAAAGCUGUCAUACUCAUGUUUAUGGUUUAUUAGAGUGAAAGACUACAGAUUAGAGUCAGCAAAAGGAAAAGGUGGAUAGGGCAGAGUCUAGGAGAAACAGGACACAAGCUUCCAGUUGGCUUCUCCCAAAGGUGUUGCAUGAACAGCACUUAAUUAUCUUAGCAACAAUGUAACACAAAUGUAAAUUUUUGCAUCCUAUGAAUCUCAUCUGAGCCUUGGUGUCCAAGGAUUUUUAUUGGGGUUAGUGACAAAGGCAUGCAGCGGCUAUGGGACAACAUUAGCUACUCAGUCUCCAGCCCCCAGAGGUCAGUGUGGUUCAACAACUGAUGCAGUGCGGUUCAACAACUUAGACGACAAAAACACUCCUGGCAGGCAGGAGAUUUCAAGAGAGCUCAGAGGUCACCUCCUGGAUGUCAGCCAAGGACCAGUCCUUUUUUUUUGAAUGUGCAGGGUUUGAGUAACCCAAGACUGCUGUGUUAACCUUUUUCUGGACACCUAUAUACAUAUAUUUGUCUGUUCUUUGGCUUCUCCAUUGAACUGGGUAUUGCUGUUACUGUUUUUGCCUUCCUAGUUCCUCAUUAAUGGGCUAAAAUAAAUCUUUGACACAUU
Gorilla gorilla gorilla (western lowland gorilla) is the source of this 1188-nucleotide long non-coding RNA. RefSeq lists it as uncharacterized. NCBI's taxonomy places the organism in Eukaryota, Metazoa, Chordata, Mammalia, Primates, Hominidae. The transcript is spliced from 3 exons. The record is from RefSeq and is a predicted model, not a curated record.